GAUGAACGCAGGCGGCGUGCCUAAUACAUGCAAGUCGAGCGAACAGACGAGGAGCUUGCUCCUCUGACGUUAGCGGCGGACGGGUGAGUAACACGUGGAUAACCUACCUAUAAGACUGGGAUAACUUCGGGAAACCGGAGCUAAUACCGGAUAAUAUAUUGAACCGCAUGGUUCAAUAGUGAAAGACGGUUUUGCUGUCACUUAUAGAUGGAUCCGCGCCGCAUUAGCUAGUUGGUAAGGUAACGGCUUACCAAGGCAACGAUGCGUAGCCGACCUGAGAGGGUGAUCGGCCACACUGGAACUGAGACACGGUCCAGACUCCUACGGGAGGCAGCAGUAGGGAAUCUUCCGCAAUGGGCGAAAGCCUGACGGAGCAACGCCGCGUGAGUGAUGAAGGUCUUCGGAUCGUAAAGCUCUGUUAUUAGGGAAGAACAAAUGUGUAAGUAACUAUGCACGUCUUGACGGUACCUAAUCAGAAAGCCACGGCUAACUACGU
RNAcentral lists this ribosomal RNA (496 nucleotides) under uncultured bacterium. RNAcentral describes it as "partial 16S ribosomal RNA". It matches the Rfam family "Bacterial small subunit ribosomal RNA", at positions 28 to 506 of the family's 1533-position model. The record is from RNAcentral.